RNAcentral lists this ribosomal RNA (243 nucleotides) under uncultured bacterium. Its description in RNAcentral is "partial 16S ribosomal RNA". It matches the Rfam family "Bacterial small subunit ribosomal RNA", at positions 119 to 356 of the family's 1533-position model. The record is from RNAcentral.
GGGUAACCUGCCCAAGAGACUGGGAUAACACCUGGAAACAGAUGCUAAUACCGGAUAACAACACUAGACGCAUGUCUAGAGUUUAAAAGAUGGUUCUGCUAUCACUCUUGGAUGGACCUGCGGUGCAUUAGCUAGUUGGUAAGGUAACGGCUUACCAAGGCAAUGAUGCAUAGCCGAGUUGAGAGACUGAUCGGCCACAUUGGGACUGAGACACGGCCCAAACUCCUACGGGAGGCAGCAGUG